GAGGAAAUAUUAAAAAGUAUACUCCUAACCCCAAUUCGUCUUCUUCAUGAUUCCAACAACAACUCUUUCUAUCCCUACUUCUCAAAUUUUUACUCUGCCUCCCUCUAAAUAUCACUCUCUCUUUCUCUCUGUCCUCUUCUACAAUUCACCAAAACAGAAAAGAUCCCAACUCAUCCCCCUCGUUCCAAACUCGGCGCUGCAGGCAGCCUUCGCCGCCGCUGCUGUCAAGGCCUCUCCGUCGCCGAGAAACACCAGGUAGAAUAAUCUUCCAGGAUUAAGGUUAAAGAGAAAACAAAAAGGCAACUUCUAAAAGCAUUAAAGAUCAAGGCUUUAACAAGAACAAUCAACCAAUAAUUUUCCAGGAGUUUUAAUCGUGUGAGCUGCUGUAAAUAUGUGAAACUUGUAGUGGUUGGUAGCGGAAGCGUGCAAACAAACGGAUCACAUAAUACGGAUCUAUUUAGCAGAUUAUUUAGACAAAA
Molecule: long non-coding RNA, 479 nt
Organism: Salvia splendens (bonfire salvia)
Lineage: Eukaryota; Viridiplantae; Streptophyta; Magnoliopsida; Lamiales; Lamiaceae
Exons: 2
Source: RefSeq, a predicted model, not a curated record